Long non-coding RNA from Leopardus geoffroyi (Geoffroy's cat), 1572 nucleotides. RefSeq lists it as uncharacterized. NCBI's taxonomy places the organism in Eukaryota, Metazoa, Chordata, Mammalia, Carnivora, Felidae. The record is from RefSeq and is a predicted model, not a curated record. The transcript is spliced from 3 exons.
AGAUGAGAAAUCAGUAAUUUGUCCUAAGAUUUGUCAUUCCGGAUGGCUUUCCAGGCAGACCAAAGCAAAGCUGGUCCCAGUGAAGGCGCCCCCAGCCGUAAGGGAGGCACAGGCGGUUUUAGGAGAGGGAAAGGUUUUCCUUGACGACUUCUAAGUUUGCAUUCUUCUUAAAAAGGGAGGUGCUGGAUGACCCACAGCCUUGGGUCCCCAAGCUCUGAAGCAGCAGGUCUAGGAGGGGAGGCAGACAGUAAUCAAAUAACCGUGCACAUCCGUGUGUGAUGAUGAACUAUGCCAAGUGCCAUGCAAGGAAGCUGGGGGCUUUGACAGCAGAUGAGAACAUUGAAGCCGAGAGAGGUUAAGUGACUUUCCCAAGGUCUUGCUGCCAACGAGUGCAAGAGCAGACUCAAACUUGCCAUUCUUGACUCCAAAGUGCCCACUUUUAACCUCUUCCAUUCCUUCCUCUCCUCUCUCCCUUCGGUUCUUCUCUUCCUCCUUCUGUCUCUCUCUCUCUCCCUUCCUGGCUUCUAUAGACAUGUACAAGCUCACAGUGAACUGGAGGCUGGUUAUUCACACUCCGCCAUUGCUCUGUGCUUUACACGCGUGUCGUUUCAUAACAAGGAUGUGAUUCACGCUCAACUUUGGAGGACACCUCUAUCCGUAUAACGUUGCCAAGUUCCUCGGCAAAUGUUAAGGUGUUGAGGGAGAAUCACUGACAUUUCGGAGUUGGGAGUGCACCCUCUUCUUUUCACACAGACGGAAUGAGGCCCGGAGAGGAGAGAAGGUUUGUCUGGGGAUGAGGUAGAUCGCCAGCCAAGGAGCGAAGACCAGAAACCGGAAGGCCCCCCCCCCCCCGUGAUCCUUACCCCAUUGCAGCCACCACCCAGGGCACACAGCCCACUCUGAGAAAUCAGGGAAUCCCUUAGAAGACCAGGACACCCCAGGAAUGCAAUAGAAAGGAUUCCUCAGAUGGACACAGAACCCGUACCCCAGCAGCACAAAGGCACCACCAGCCAUUCUAAGAGCCCUGAUCCCCACCCCCACCCCCACCCCCACCCCACCCCGGGCCUUAGGCUGCCAGAGGAAGAGUCUCUCUUCAGAUGAAUAUGCUGCUAUGCAAGUGCUGUGUAGAAUGACAUUUCUACUUAAAGGGGUCGUAUUUCUACCCUGUUGAGUAGAGGACAGGAAAUGGGGAACCUGAGGGAGGUAAACAUGGCUGAGCCAUAAGGGACUCCCUUUUCCUCCCUCCUUCCCCGCCUCAGGGCCCAUGCUGGUGGUGGCUGUGGCUGUUGAGUAUUGGCUGAGAUUUCCAGUACCUUUUGGGGAUAUCAGAUGCGAGAGUCUGAGGCUCUGGAGUCAGGCAGACUUGACUUCCAAACCAGGUCCUGACACCGAAGAGUCUCCGUUUCCCCAUCCCUAAAAUUGGAAUAACAGCCUUACCAUGAAUUUUUCGAGGGUGUUUGGAGAACAAGCCUGAGUUGUCAUAAACACAAAGCAAGGGGUACCAUGUCUGGCAAAGUGGGAAAAUGGAAUGGAAUAAGUAAAAGGCCUGCUCCUGGCACAUCUGCAGAGUUA